CAGACCUGGCAAGUGAAAACCCGGGACACCCCCUUAAACCUGAAUUUCAGAUAAACCGCGAAUACUUUGUGAGUGUAAUUAUAUCCUGCGAAAUAUCUGGGACAUAUUUAUACUAAACAGUACCCGUGGUUUACCUGAAAUUCAGAUGUAACUGCAUCUUCUCUGGCAGCCCCAAACUCACGAUAUCAUAUCGUUGUUGUGGACUCCGCUCAGAAAGCCCACGAAUCAAAAUUCUUUCCAUCCUUCGAGGCCCAUCCCAGAUAACACGUCUUCUGCGAAGCUGUCUCCUCUCCUGGCCCCCAGCACACUGUGCCUGUCACAUAGUCACAGAACAAGCCUUGCUCCUCUCUCAGACAUCAGACUCGUGAGGGCAGACGCUGGUCCUUUUCCCACAGCUCCUCACUGUGGAAUUCAUUCAUUCCACACUAUGCCAACCGCAAAGCAGAUGUGGAUGCUGAUCUCGUGGGUUUUUGUUUCGUAGGAAAGCACGGCAUUAUCCGGGCAGUUAUGAACAGCUGCGUGAAGGGAUGGGACAAAGUGCUGCAGAAGGGCUGCUCUGAGGCUGGGGUCCUGCACGGCUUCUCUGGGGGGUGGUGCUCAGGGGCCAGGAUGAACAGGAGGAACCCACACGACAAGUCAAGAGAAAUUUCCAGAAGACACUGAGGGGAGAGCAAGCCCGGGCCAGCCUGACUGAGGAAGGGACCCACACAAAGCAGAGCCGACUCCAUCCUGCACGGCUGGCUCAAGCGACAGGACGCCACCCGCCCGGCUCAGCCACACUUCUGGAUGUGAGUUGGAUUCUGCUAACUGCAGAGCCUGGAGAGGCGCCCUGAUCCUGCCAGCAGUACCACUGGUCCUCAGGCCAUCCUGGUAACCGGGCGAGGAACGCCUGGAGCAGUGAACCCUGAACAAGAGAGAUCGAGCAAAAGAACCACGACUACAGGGUUACUCAUCAACAGAAUUAGGCAAGCCUCAGGAAGCAGGAACACUGUUCUGGAAAGAAACAAACCUUAGCUGCGUAGUGAAGUGCUGUGAGGUGGGUGGAGGCUGCUCUCACAUCUACGUUGAUGCCAAGCUCAGAGACCAAGAAUUGGACGGCCUCAUUCUGCCCAGUGACUGCUGCCCGGUGGAUGGCCUGGGCCCCCAGGGAGUCCUCAGCAGAAACACAAGCCUAGAGGUUGGGAGAGACAUGAACAAAAGAGCAGCCUGGCUACGUCGAUGUGUCCACACUGGAUGGCGUCCAUGAAGGGUGUGAGGCCACACUUGUCUCUGCAGUCCGGUUCAUACUGGCACCUAGAGCCCAAACACAAAGUAACAGCUGGGAACAGUCACUGCUUCAAACCCAACGGUGCUGACUCCUGACCAGCUGCCUUAUAGAUGAUCCGUGAGAAUCUGGAGUGCUUGCCCUCCUUCCCUACCUCAGUAUCUGUACUGAGCUCUUCGAGAGCAGACCAAGUCAACAGGGACCUCCCUGGUGGCGCAGUGGCUAGGAAUCCACCUGCCAAGGCAGGGGACACGGGUGCGAGCCCUGGUCUGGGAAGAUCCCACCUGCCACGGAGCAACUAAGCCUGUGUGCCACAACUACUGAAGCCCGUGUGCCACAACUACUGAAGCCCAUGCGCCUAGAGCCCAUGCUCCACAACAAGAGAAGCCACCGCAAUGAGAAGCCCACGCAAGAGGGAUAUAUGUAUAUGUAUAGCUGAUUCACUGUGUUAUAAAGCAGAAACUAACACACCAUUGUAAAGCAAUUAUACUCCAAUAAAG
Long non-coding RNA from Globicephala melas (long-finned pilot whale), 1764 nucleotides. RefSeq lists it as uncharacterized. The record is from RefSeq and is a predicted model, not a curated record. Lineage: Eukaryota; Metazoa; Chordata; Mammalia; Artiodactyla; Delphinidae.